ACGGAAGGCAGCAGUGGGGAAUACUGGGCAAUGGGCGAAAGCCUGACCCAGCAACGCCGCGUGAAGGAAGAAGGUCUUCGGAUUGUAAACUUCUUUUAUGAGGGACGAUAAUGACGGUACCUCAUGAAUAAGCCACGGCUAACUACGUGCCAGCAGCCGCGGUAAUACGUAGGUGGCAAGCGUUAUCCGGAUUUACUGGGUGUAAAGGGCGCGUAGGCGGGAAAGCAAGUCAGAUGUGAAAUCCAUGGGCUCAACUCAUGAACUGCAUUUGAAACUGUUUUUCUUGAGUGUCGGAGAGGUAGAUGGAAUUCCUAGUGUAGCGGUGAAAUGCGUAGAUAUUAGGAAGAACACCAGUGGCGAAGGCGAUCUACUGGACGAUAACUGACGCUGAGGCGCGAAAGCGUGGGGAGCAAACAGGAUUAGAUACCCUGGUA
RNAcentral lists this ribosomal RNA (434 nucleotides) under uncultured Oscillospiraceae bacterium. RNAcentral's name for it is "bacterial SSU rRNA". It matches the Rfam family "Bacterial small subunit ribosomal RNA", at positions 341 to 792 of the family's 1533-position model. Lineage: Bacteria; Bacillati; Bacillota; Clostridia; Eubacteriales; Oscillospiraceae. The record is from RNAcentral.